This is a long non-coding RNA of Oncorhynchus tshawytscha (Chinook salmon), 441 nucleotides long. NCBI's taxonomy places the organism in Eukaryota, Metazoa, Chordata, Actinopteri, Salmoniformes, Salmonidae. The record is from Ensembl.
UCUUCACCCUCUCUGAGUGGGGUGUUCAACACCUCCUACCCUGCCACCAACAGUCUGCAGAGCAUGUCCCCAGUGCUGUCUCCCCUAUCGCACAAGCUCCCCAGUCCUAAGCUCAACCACCGCAUCCUGCUCCUCUCUGACGUUGACGUUGGCCAGCGGACGGACAGUGACAGCCCCAUGACUGGAUCCGAAGAGGAGCCCAAAGUCACCACAGAGGUCAUAGAUAAGAAUGGCAACAAGCGGACCAUCACACGGCUGGACCUGAACCUCAGCAGACUACCAGGGACUUCCAAAUGGAAUUUAAAUGGCCUAUCUACGGCAACAGAGGAGGCCGAUAUCUGGAUGCUGGACGGUGAUGAUGCCAUCUCCCAGACCCAGGACUCCCUGAACUGUGUCUCCCGUCCCAAUCACCUGGACUUCCUCAGGAUCACGCCCCCAGAG